RNAcentral lists this ribosomal RNA (624 nucleotides) under Triticum aestivum (bread wheat). RNAcentral's name for it is "partial small subunit ribosomal RNA". The record is from RNAcentral. Lineage: Eukaryota; Viridiplantae; Streptophyta; Magnoliopsida; Poales; Poaceae.
AUGUCUUCCUCCACCUCCUCCUUCCAGCCAACUCUCAGCGGUGGAGUCACGGAGAAACUCUCCCGCACCAACUACAUCCUGUGGCGAACCCAGAUCACGCCACAGUUGCGGGGCGUCGACGUCUACCACUAUGUCGAUGGCACGUCGACCGAGCCGGCCAAAACCCACGUCACCAAAGAUGCCGCUGUGAAAGAAAUAGAGGGGCCGAAUCCUCUCCAUCCGCUCUGGGUGAAGGAGGAUCAGCAAGUCCUUGGAUAUCUACUUCAACACUUAUCCAAGGAAGUGCUCGUCAUGGUGACUGCGAUCACCACGGCGCGGGAACUCUGGGUGGCGCUAGCGAACAUGUUCUCGUCGCAGUCACUCAGCCGCGUCAACAACAUUCGCACGGCGCUGAUCAACGCGCAGAAGGGCAACCAAUUGGUGUCCUCCUUCGCCGCCAUGAGAGGGCUCGCUGAUGAACUCGCCGCGGCGGGGAAACCAAUCCAAGACGAUGAGCUCAUAUCCUACAUCAUCCACAGGCUGGAUCAAGACUACCAGCCCCUCGUCUCUGCCUUGGACGCCCGUGUCACUCCGGUAACCCUUGAUGAGCUCUUCGCUAUGCUUAGAAAUUUUGAUCAGCGUAUG